This is a long non-coding RNA of Aquila chrysaetos chrysaetos, 1458 nucleotides long. RefSeq lists it as uncharacterized. NCBI's taxonomy places the organism in Eukaryota, Metazoa, Chordata, Aves, Accipitriformes, Accipitridae. The record is from RefSeq and is a predicted model, not a curated record. The transcript has 4 exons.
GGGGGGGGUGUUGGGUGGUGACGGUUGGGCGUGCGCGCGUGCCGGCGGCCGUUACCGGCUGCGUCCGCCUCUCCCCAACCCCCUCCAUCUUCUCCUCCGUAUCCCACAGCCGGGCAAAAUGCUAAAAAAAAUUAAAAAAAAAAAAAAAAAAGGACGUAAACGGUUGUGGUCACACUGCUGGGAAUCCCUCCUGAGACCGUGAGGGAGGCUGCGGGAGUUCGGUGGCUUUCACCUGCACCAUUCAUUGUUUGGCAUAACCAGUCCACUAAGUGAAUGCAUUUUUGUCUCACUUCAAGAUAUCUAAACAGUGUUACAAGUUGUGGUGAAGAAAAGCGUGAGUGAAAAAACUUUUCUUGCUUUAGUAGUUCAAAGCUUCUCACCUUUUGAGAUGAAACUUGAGAUACUUGAGGAUGCUGCGACUUGGCAGAAACGUGCAACUCAUGCAGGCUAAGUUUGACAGAUGCAUGACCACUGUCUUCUAUCAAUCCUGAACUUCCAUGUAUGUCUACUGCUGUGAAGAAUAGUGUUCAUAGUCUUGGAAUUUAGGACUUGAUACUUCUUUUCUAUGAGAGAAGAAGUGGCAGUCUCCAAGGGAAAAGGUAGUAGGACAGAAGGCAACUGAAAGCCUAUUUGAACAAGAACAAACAGUUACCUGUCUCUUUGAAGAUUUUUUCAUCAGGUGGGACCACUGAGCAGAGGCUGUUCAGGACCAGCGUACCCAAUUUCAAAGCAUUUUUCUCUGAACUCUUGUAGUAGUCCAAAGAAUUGUGCGUCAAAACAAACCAACGCUUCUUCAGUUUUAAUGAAGACAUCUUUGGGUUGUUCUUUACUUCUUUGUGUAGCCAUCCUGUUAAAGACACAAUUUGAAUUGCACUUUUUUUUUUCAAACAGAGUUGGACAAAAUUAGGCUGCUAAAACUUAGUUGUGUACUUUGAACAACAAAAAUAUGAUGUGAAUUGUUUAGCCCACAUAUUAAACAACUUUGAGUAAAAUUUUUAAGCAAUGAAAUGAUGAAGAUGUAAUAAAAUUAAUAUGAAAACUUUUCAACUUUGGUGUUUACCUAGAAAAAUUCUUUUGUCAACUUACAAAAAUGCUUUGGUCAUCGUUACACAGCACAGCAGGAGUAUAACUUCAGCUGUAUUAAUUUGUGAGUAAACUCCACCGUAGAAAGAUGAGGCUCUAACACUACCAUGCUGACAUAUUACCCAGACUGUAUUGCAGGAACAAUCUCUUCGAAGCUUAAUGGAUGUUAUUUACUUUGUUGCUGUCCUACUCCGUUCUUACCUCUCACAAUGAAUUCUUGUCCCUCCACUCUAGUGUCCCCCUUUGACCUUUGGAGAAGCGUUAUCCAGUGGUGCAUCUCUUCAGGAGUGUCAGCAUUACAGUGAAGAACACGAUUAGCAGUGAUGAUCACAAAUGAAUUGGGUCUAUGAAAAUAAACGAAGGCUUUACAAUCAA